RNAcentral lists this ribosomal RNA (1635 nucleotides) under Escherichia coli. RNAcentral's name for it is "partial 23S ribosomal RNA". It matches the Rfam family "Bacterial large subunit ribosomal RNA", at positions 1312 to 2925 of the family's 2925-position model. Lineage: Bacteria; Pseudomonadati; Pseudomonadota; Gammaproteobacteria; Enterobacterales; Enterobacteriaceae. The record is from RNAcentral.
AUAAAGCGGGUGAAAAGCCCGCUCGCCGGAAGACCAAGGGUUCCUGUCCAACGUUAAUCGGGGCAGGGUGAGUCGACCCCUAAGGCGAGGCCGAAAGGCGUAGUCGAUGGGAAACAGGUUAAUAUUCCUGUACUUGGUGUUACUGCGAAGGGGGGACGGAGAAGGCUAUGUUGGCCGGGCGACGGUUGUCCCGGUUUAAGCGUGUAGGCUGGUUUUCCAGGCAAAUCCGGAAAAUCAAGGCUGAGGCGUGAUGACGAGGCACUACGGUGCUGAAGCGACAAAUGCCCUGCUUCCAGGAAAAGCCUCUAAGCAUCAGGUAACAUCAAAUCGUACCCCAAACCGACACAGGUGGUCAGGUAGAGAAUACCAAGGCGCUUGAGAGAACUCGGGUGAAGGAACUAGGCAAAAUGGUGCCGUAACUUCGGGAGAAGGCACGCUGAUAUGUAGGUGAAGCGACUUGCUCGUGGAGCUGAAAUCAGUCGAAGAUACCAGCUGGCUGCAACUGUUUAUUAAAAACACAGCACUGUGCAAACACGAAAGUGGACGUAUACGGUGUGACGCCUGCCCGGUGCCGGAAGGUUAAUUGAUGGGGUUAGCGGUAACGCGAAGCUCUUGAUCGAAGCCCCGGUAAACGGCGGCCGUAACUAUAACGGUCCUAAGGUAGCGAAAUUCCUUGUCGGGUAAGUUCCGACCUGCACGAAUGGCGUAAUGAUGGCCAGGCUGUCUCCACCCGAGACUCAGUGAAAUUGAACUCGCUGUGAAGAUGCAGUGUACCCGCGGCAAGACGGAAAGACCCCGUGAACCUUUACUAUAGCUUGACACUGAACAUUGAGCCUUGAUGUGUAGGAUAGGUGGGAGGCUUUGAAGUGUGGACGCCAGUCUGCAUGGAGCCGACCUUGAAAUACCACCCUUUAAUGUUUGAUGUUCUAACGUGGGCCCCUUACCGGGGUUGCGGACAGUGUCUGGUGGGUAGUUUGACUGGGGCGGUCUCCUCCUAAAGAGUAACGGAGGAGCACGAAGGUUGGCUAAUCCUGGUCGGACAUCAGGAGGUUAGUGCAAUGGCAUAAGCCAGCUUGACUGCGAGCGUGACGGCGCGAGCAGGUGCGAAAGCAGGUCAUAGUGAUCCGGUGGUUCUGAAUGGAAGGGCCAUCGCUCAACGGAUAAAAGGUACUCCGGGGAUAACAGGCUGAUACCGCCCAAGAGUUCAUAUCGACGGCGGUGUUUGGCACCUCGAUGUCGGCUCAUCACAUCCUGGGGCUGAAGUAGGUCCCAAGGGUAUGGCUGUUCGCCAUUUAAAGUGGUACGCGAGCUGGGUUUAGAACGUCGUGAGACAGUUCGGUCCCUAUCUGCCGUGGGCGCUGGAGAACUGAGGGGGGCUGCUCCUAGUACGAGAGGACCGGAGUGGACGCAUCACUGGUGUUCGGGUUGUCAUGCCAAUGGCACUGCCCGGUAGCUAAAUGCGGAAGAGAUAAGUGCUGAAAGCAUCUAAGCACGAAACUUGCCCCGAGAUGAGUUCUCCCUGACUCCUUGAGAGUCCUGAAGGAACGUUGAAGACGACGACGUUGAUAGGCCGGGUGUGUAAGCGCAGCGAUGCGUUGAGCUAACCGGUACUAAUGAACCGUGAGGCUUAACCUU